RNAcentral lists this ribosomal RNA (312 nucleotides) under Triticum aestivum (bread wheat). RNAcentral describes it as "partial small subunit ribosomal RNA". Lineage: Eukaryota; Viridiplantae; Streptophyta; Magnoliopsida; Poales; Poaceae. The record is from RNAcentral.
AUGAUUCGAGCAGCAUCAGAUGAUGUGCGCUUCCUUCUCAAUAUACAAGAGAAAAUGAUGGAGAAGUUGAGCAAAGUAUCUUCAUGGCGUCUGGCAGUACAAAGUGAGCUAUACUGUAGGUGUUUUUGCAUAAAUGACAACCAACAUGAAGAUUGGCCGCCUCUUGCAACUGUCCCUGAUGACAUUGAAGCUGAAGCUUGUGUUCCUGAGGUAGAUAUCCUUUCGCUCUUGGUUGUGCCUCCUGGAAAAAUGGGAUGUAUUAUUGGUAGAAAAGGAUCAUCAAUAAUUAUUGUGAAAGAAUCUUGCAAGUAA